Molecule: small nucleolar RNA, 120 nt
Filed under: Echinops telfairi (small Madagascar hedgehog)
Lineage: Eukaryota; Metazoa; Chordata; Mammalia; Afrosoricida; Tenrecidae
Description: Small nucleolar RNA SNORA61 (ENSETEG00000025599.1)
Source: RNAcentral
CCUUUCCAAAUCCCUUGGCCUUCAGAUCUAAGUAAUGGUCUGAGAGGUUAAAAAAGGAGGAAAACUAAGACCGAAGUGGACUUAGAGUCUUGGUGGUAUACAAGUUCCUUUCAAGCAUAU